This is an RNA transcript of Lineus longissimus, 2848 nucleotides long. RefSeq lists it as uncharacterized. The transcript is spliced from 10 exons. Lineage: Eukaryota; Metazoa; Nemertea; Pilidiophora; Heteronemertea; Lineidae. The record is from RefSeq and is a predicted model, not a curated record.
CUAGUAAAUAUACCUCGACUGAGAUAUCAUUGCUAAGCAUGUCAACACUCAAUGGCACUCUUAUAGUUCGCAAGGAGCAAUGGUUUUCUUUUGAAGUUCAGAGCAAUGUAGUAAGGAAGAUAACUAGAUGAUCCGAAGCCCAGAUCGAUUCAACUACAGCUUCAAACCCGAGUAUUUCCAAUUUAAAAAAGCUACAUACCAGGACUUUGGGUGGAUCAGCGUUGGUGUGUGAAGAACUUUGUGGACGGAAAGACUGCUUCUCAAUAUCAGUGGUUCAAGGAUACAGGAAACUUCGCCGAGAGUUUGGUGUACAGCUGGCGAAUUUGAAAUGCUGUGGUGCUAAUUGUAAAUGUAGACAUCAUUCUGCGAUCUUCUGUUCGAGGAAGAGAUUGAGAAAUCGAGAGACAAGAUGGUAUACAUCGACUUCAUGCCUAAACUAGUCCAGUAUUACGGAGGAGCACAUUCCAAAUACGAAAGUUUCAGACGACUUAUGCAACGCGCCAACGAUUGGCUGGAGAGGAACCCCCAAGUUGUUGUCAUCAACUGUGAAACUGUGGCUAUCAAACCGAACGAGUAUUACUUGGAGGAUUUCGACAACAAGAUCACGAUUUGGGAUGAAUUCUUCAUGGAGACAAUUGCUGGGAAAACACGAACUGCCAGACAUCCAGUAUUACAUGUUUUGAGAAUUUGGUAUCUUGGGAAGACCUUUGCCGAGGAGGGCGACGACGACGAUGAUGAUGAUGACGAUGAGAGCACAAUCAGCGAGGAAGAAGCCGAGCAGAGGAGGAAAGCAUCCAUGAAGAAGCGAAAGUCUAUAUUCGAAAGGAACGAGAGCAUGGCCACUUUUAAACAGGACGCAGAUCGGAGAAAGUCGAUUAGUUCUACAGCUAGCAAGGACAGUAAGGGGAAGAAGAAGGGUGAUAAAGGGAAAACAAAGUCCGUAGCGUUCUCCGACACAAAAGACGUCAAACACUUUGAAAAAGAUGACGAUGAUGACGUCAGCGAAAUAGAGGAGGACGAACUGCGACCGCAGCAGAUUGGCUACGUAAAUAUCAUACCGUGCCGGUAUCGUAGCAGCAAAGAUCUAAGGUCGAAGCGGAGGUUCGAACACCUUGGAGCUACUAUUGGGCGAUUUAACAAUAACAUGGAGGAGAGACAUUUGCCCGGGGAAAUUAUCAGCACCGAGAUCUACACGGUUCCCAUGUCAGCCAACGGAUGUGAAUAUCCUGAUGCCACCUUCUGGAGAUUUGGCGAACUAGAGUUCCAUAUGGCCAGAGUCUAUUAUUUGCUCGGCGAGUCACUUGGAGAGAAAAUAGGUUUUGCCGACUUCAUUCCAAUGAACGAUGGUGUCGAAGAUUUUACGCACAUGGUCAGCAGGGCAAAUGAAUGGAUUCAAAAACAGUCAAAAAUACAUGUCACCAACUUCAGGACCGACUGGUGUAACUUCGGCGCUGAACCUACUUUCGUUGAGAGCCAGUCCGCAAUACGCCGGGUGUGGAUCAAUGCCAAGCUUGUUCGUGUACUGAGAGUAUGGUACACUACCCCACUGAGACCAGAACUAGUGGAAGUGCCACCCAAUCCCGUCGUAAAAUGGACGCUGUUCGAGGCUGAGAUAUUAGUGCAGAAGACGGUAGAGAGGGUGGAGACCUUCACAGAAGUCAUCAGGAGGGCGCUCAUUGAUCUUGAAAAACUAGCAUAACCAAAAACAACACCGAAAACAUGCAUAAAACAAGGCACACAGCAAAAACACUGAACAUAAAACGACAGCAACGACAUCUAACAUCAAGAUUUGAUACCAUGCCAUUCGAUUGGUGUAGCUUUGCAUGUGAUCGCCGCCAUAUUUCAUCACGUGAUUUAUCCAAUAUGAAGCUGUCUGCUUUGGCGUCAUCUGCUGAUCUCGGUACAUUUCGGAAGCCUUCAUGAUUGCUUCUUUGUAGCGUUGACUUUGCAUCAAUUCAGUAAUGUUUGUGUAAAAGUCAUCAGCAGUCAGCUUCCUUAAUUCUAUGUAUAGUCCGAAUCCUUUACUCAUAAGUCUUUGCGCGUUGUAAACUUGGUCACCGAAAAUUGGGAGGCCCAACAUCGGGACGCCAUGAUAGAGUGCCUCGUGCUGGCCGCUGUUUCCACAGUGCGUUGCAAAGACCUUGACCUUUUCAUGCCCCAAGAGAUCAUUUUGAGGAAGCCAUUUUGAGGCAUAGGUGUUUGAGGGGAGAUGUUGACCCUGUUUGAGCUUCUUGACGUCGAACUGUAACACAACCUUAAGCUUAAGUUUUCCAACCGAGGCCAAUAAUGUAUCGACUGUCUGCUCCGGGAGUUGGACAGCGACGGAUCCAAAUGAUAUCAGGACAAAACCGUCACUGUUAUCAACAAAAUCUUUCAAAUCGCCUUCCUGUAGCUGUUUUGCAGGCUUGGUAACUAGGCCACCAACGUUGAUAAGGUUUGGGGCGCCUGGGAUAGGAACUUCAUAGACCCUCGCAGUGUCUACCAGGUGAAGCAGUGCUCUGUCAGCGAGGUCCCUAUAAGAAGAGUAGGGCUUGUCCGAUGGAUACGCAAUAACGUAUUCCAACAGCGGGCCCAGAAUGGUCACCAGCAGCGUCUUGACUGUCCGCUGACGGAGUGUAGAGUACUCGUAGUAGACCAUAUCAGCUGGUCCGGGGGAAAGUAAUAGUGUAUGAAGGGCUGGAGCAGCCAUAUCGGCGAGCAAGAUCGGCAUAAAAUUAACGUAAGAAGCACAGAUCCUGAAUGUGGAAACAGUUGUGUUGUUCUCUGAAUACAGCAAGAGAAAACUCCGCCGUGAAGAGAUGGACGUCAACGUCGGGCUCCAAAUCAAACACAUGCUUAGGUUUUACAU